RNA transcript from Cydia fagiglandana, 6679 nucleotides. It is a transcript of the gene named transmembrane protein 245, with no coding region annotated. The record is from RefSeq and is a predicted model, not a curated record. Lineage: Eukaryota; Metazoa; Arthropoda; Insecta; Lepidoptera; Tortricidae. The transcript is spliced from 14 exons.
UACUCACCUGACAUUGACAGUUUAAAACGUCAAACGAAAAUGUUCAUGAAUAUUUAUCUAUCUUGAAGAAUAUCUCAAAUAACUAUGAUCUCACUCUUUUAUCCGGUGUUAAUUUAAGUUUAUAAAGUGUAUUAGUAUAUCAAAAUGCAACAAUCCCCGUUUGAGAAUAUUUUUAAUAUAAUUGGCGGAUUAUCCGAAGGAAAUGAGAAGCCCAUGAAACAUGGGUUCUAUAACGCGUUUGCCCUGUUCAUUCUAACUAUAUGCUGUGCUGCAGUGUAUGUGCUGUUUCUUAUACUAGAACCCUUCUUCAAACCUUUGUUUUGGGCCCUUUUAGUCGGUUCGUUGCUGCACCCAUUCAAAUAUAAAUUGUCUAAGAAGUUGAAGUCAUGGUUUGAAGAUUUAGAGAAAUGUAACAAAUCUGUGAUAUUUGGGGUAAUGUUCUUACCUGUAAAUGUUGUUAAUUUUGCUUCGGACACUGUGGGACAACAGUUCAUAGAACAUUACAAGACUGUGAUUGGGUUACUCUCUGCUAUAUUUGUUUUACCGUGGCUGUACAACGCCAUCCCCCGAAGUUUGGUCUGCAUAUUCUGGCAGCUGAGCAGCUUUAUUGGCUUUUCAACUACAAAGCUCAUUGGCUUUUGCAGCUCAUACAUUACUCUGACCAUAGCUCUGGCUUAUUUAAUAAGCAUAUGCACAUUAUGGAGGCCAGAGCGAUCUGGCAUGUUUAAAGCAUCAUCACAAUUCCUCUGGCUUGUUAUAACAAGUUUCCUGGCCAGUCUGACUGGGUCUCUGCAAGUCUAUACAUUUGUAAUGCUGCAAGGGCUAUGUGUAGCUGGAUUUGCACUUGAAGUGAUUGAUGUUCAUAAGGAAUUAUUAGCGAGGGAUCCUGAGACAUCAGCUUUAGUCGCAAUUCAAAAAGUUCUUACGAACGAACAUUGCAAAGAUGCAAUAAAGCAAGAUGAAAAGCCGGAACAGAGCGCUAGUGAACAGGAAUCCACUCCCGAGAAAGAUUCCCCUUCUCCCGUCACCCCUGAUGCCGCUACGAAAAGGGGAAGCUGGGCAGAAAGCGAUCAAAUUCACAGCUCGCCUCGCCACGCCAAAAUGCUGUACAAAACUAGAACAUUAUCCGCCUUACCACUAUCGAAUACGAAAACGAAAUCCGCCUUCGAAAAUCGACUUAUCGCCUCCUUCAAACAAAGGUCGAUGGACGAAAAUUAUUUGAAAAACAAUUUCAACAGUGAUGAUGAAACCGCCUUAUAUUUUAAACUACUUUUCUUUGGAUGUCUGUGCAUGCUCGUGUGGAAACAUAUUUGGCUGCUGCCAGUAAUGUUGUUUUUCUUAGCAAUCCAUGUUUUGAAGAGAGUAUUGGACUUCUUUGGAGUUUGGCUGUUCUGUGAGAAUCACUAUAAUAAUUUCAUGGGCAAAGUCAAAACUUGGUGGUCUGACAGACAAUCUGCAGCGGUACCAGCGCACAUUCGUGGAAUCCGCAAAAUCCUCUCUAGUUUGAAUAAAAGCAUAAGAGACGUGGCCUACGGCUCUGUGGAUACUGUGUCUACUUGCAUCGUCAUCACGGGCCUUAUUACAUUUCUUAUCGUCGCUACUAUAUUCAUUUUUAUACAGAUAUACUCAGAGGCAAUAGUGGUGGUCCAACUGAGCGGUAGCCUUCUGAACAGUACGUUCGUACAAAAUAGCGAGCUGCACGCUUACCUCCCCGAGGGGUGGGAGGAGAAACUAGAUUCCUUGAUCGACAACGCCUAUACUUAUGGAAAGGAGGGCAUAUCUGCUGGUGUAAAGAGCAUACUCAAAGAAGGCGACCCUGAGAAGAUAGCCCGAGUAGAGGAGCAAAUCCUGCAACUAUGGGAUCGCGUGUACCAAAGCUGGGUGUCGGGACAGUUCGCGCCGCAAAUCGGGCCCACGGUCGACGGCAACGCUGUCCAGGACUCGUGGGAUAGCUUCGUCCACGACCUCUCUAACACGCCUGGCAUGUUCGACUACUCCGGCAUCGUAGCCUGGGUGCAAGCCAACGUGGGCACCCUGAGCGCCAUAGCUACAAGCAUUUGGGCACCGCUGGCCAGCAAUGUAUCUUUGCUGGCCGGGUCGAUCGGCGCGUUCACCUCGCUUCUACUCUCAGGUGGCGGCGCUGUCAUCAACAUGUUCAUUAACUUGGUGGUGUUCUUUACAACGCUGUUCUACUUGCUGGCGUGCAGCAACGCUCUCUACAAGCCCGUCGAGGUCAUCACUCAAGUGCAGCCCAACUUUGGACCGCGGUUGGGCAUCGCGUUGUCUGUCGCUAUAAACCAGGUAUUCAGAGCGUCAUUCAAAAUGGCGCUGUUUUACGGGUUAUGGACGUGGCUGGUGCACAAUUUGUUUGGAGCUAAAGUUGUCUACUUACCUUCAGUGUUAGCUGCAGUGUUGGGCGCUGCUCCAUUCCUCGGGCCGUACUUGGCCGGGAUCCCCGCGGCACUGGACGUGUGGCUGCAGGGCAGGCCUAUGGCCGCGCUGAUGCUGCCUAUCGCUCAAGCUGCGCCCAUCGCCUUCCUAGAUGCCGCCGUCUACGCGGAAAUCAAAGACGGCGGCCACCCAUACGUGACCGGUCUAGCAAUAGCGGGUGGUAUAUUCUACCUCGGUCCUGAGGGCGCGAUCCUAGGCCCCCUUCUCCUCUGCUGCCUCAUGGUGGUGCUCAACCUUUCCUCUGCCUUCCUCCGCGACACGCCGUCUGAAGAGCGCGCCGCCCUGCAUUCGCGUGUCAGUGUACCAAAGUGGUUGGCGAAUGAGAAAUUGUCUCAGCUUGUUAUUUCUAUGAUGCUCAAAAGGUUAACCAAGGUAAAUUUGAUAAUCAAAUAUUCACUCGACACAUUUCGAAACUUCUUCAAAGUCCAUUAUGUUCAAAACAAAAUUUCACUACCCAUUUUUGUAAAUAACUGUUUUAUUUUCUUGUUUAUUGGUGAAUAAUAUUAUUUUUGGUGUAUUUAAGUGAUAGGCAAUAAUGCGUGGGUGUUCCUGUUGCUUUAGGUCAUUAUUGGGAUUGUUUUAUAAUUGAGGCUCGGUGCUUUUCUCUGACGGGUAUGCAUGGACUACUAACACUCAGUCAGUCCCCAACUGAAUUGUCAAUUAAUAAGCCAAGCAAAGUAUGGUAUGAUAAGUAAUAACGAUACAUUCGACACAAGAACAUUAUCUAAAAAGCGGUUGAAUUGAAAAGCUUAGGUGCCUACAUGUUUACAGUGCCAUGACAUGAAUUUUUACCAUUGAAUCAUUGACGACGCCGAAAUUCAGAAACAUAAAUUAAUGAAAUUUUUUAAAUUUAUAGUAACGGGCCGUUUAACCUGCUUCUCGAAAAUUUGUAUUGAUUGAAAUUACUUUAUAAUGUUUGAAAUAGUAUGAGAUGUUUCUGAUGUAGGAUCUGGCGUUGUUAUUUUAAUUCAUACAUAUUUAACAUUAAUACACUUGCUUUAUUUAUAGUUUUCAUUCCAUAUGAUACGAUCAGAUUAUACUUACAUGAUGGGUACUCUGAUUCUUGUAUACUAAUAGAAUAAUACUUUGGUACUAAUGUGGAUAAAUACAGGGUGUUUGGUACAUCGUUUGCCAAAUUAAAACGGCAGAUAGGUUGACUCAUUUGCUAUCUUCCCAGGCUUAAAAUUUUUUAAAUUGGCGCACAUUUUUUUUUCACUUCUAUGCCAGUAUUUCGUAAAUUUCAAAUUUUUACUUGCGUAGUAGUAAAAAAAACCAUGGCCAAUUUUGUUUUUCUAGGCAUGAGAAAAUAGCAAAUGUCUCAACCUAUCUGCCGUUUUAAUUUGGCAAACGAUGUACCAAACACCCUGUAUACCACCUUUGUUUUGUUAUCUUACCUACCGUGUUGCCGCCCAAUGUACACUCUGGUUAAAUGGAAUUAGGACCUUUCAUAAAACAUACAAAGUAAGUAACAUUUUACAAGCUUUUUUUAUCGUCUAUUUUUUUCAUCAUCAUCAUCAAUUAUGGGUGGCACGAGGCUAUAAAUACGUAUCAUUUUCAACCCGGCCGAGAAGUAAUUUAGAUAUCCUCCUAAGGCUCAAGGUCCUACCUAUAGUACUUAUUCAGUUCGAUGAAAUUUAAAUCAUAUUCAAUUGGAACAGAGUCGCAAUUAUUUUGUUUCGUACAAUUUUCAAACAAAACCAAAAUCAACUCUAUUCCCUGCACUAAAGGUUCAAAUUUCAUUGGCCAAUUCUGGUUUUUUCAUUUGUAUGGCUGGGCCUUAGGAGGAUAUGACUAUACGAUAAUAAUAAAUUGUCCCAUGUAUAUCUACAACGUCAAUAUAUUGCAUAACUAUUACUUGGAUAUUUUACUGUUACUUUGGUAUUUUGUUCCUGUGUUAGAAAAAGGUAUUUAUUCUGAAUCUCAUUCAUGCGUAAUAUGAGUACAUAUAUAUUGGAGAUCAUUAUAUUCAUUAUAUAUAUUUGAAAUCAUUAUUAUGUUUAACAGUUAAAUGAUUCAAUGUAUGUAGAGCUUUAAAUUAUUGUACACCUAGCCGCAAAUUGAAUGGCCACUUUAUAAAUGAUUUUAUUAUUAUUGAUACAUAUGUAAUUGUCCAUGCAAUGUUGCAGCGCACUGGAUGCACAAUGUUAUGUUAUGCCUUAAUAAUUAUAAUAUAAUGCAUAUUUCGUCGGGUGACAAGCAAAAGUCACUAACUAACAUCAUUGAAAUUAUUGGACAAUAAACCGUGUUACAAGUGUAAUAAAGUGCAUUGUUACUUUAAUAUUUUGAUAGUACUUAGUGACUGUUGCUUGUCACCCGACGAUAUAAUAUAAUGCAUAUUUUGUUGUGUUGUCCUUAUGUUGUGGAGAGAUAUUUACAUACUUCUAUUUAAUUAUAAACUUACACAGUAAUAGGCGUUGCAUGUAACAUUAUUUAUAUUUUCGUAAUCGAUUAGUUGAAAUUGAGGAAUUUUGAAUAACAUCAUUUACUAGUCACAGCAUUUAACUUAACACGUUCGCUACAGAGCGGAAAAUACUUGUUUUAGGUUACGCCUAAGCGUUUGUUAAUGGCCUAAGAAAACCAAGUUUAGUUCCUAGUAAACAUUUCUAUUCUAAUCAUAAAUUUUCAUAUUUAUAGUAUAAAUUAGAUUGCAUUGCAUUGUAGUGUCAUUACUGUUUGAUAAAAAUCAGAGCGUGGCCUACGCGCACAAUAACGAAUGUCAUUUAUAGGUACUUUACUUAUACAACGAACUUGUAAGUUGUUAUGACUGACUUAAAAAUCCUUCUUGCUUUAAAGUCUCUCUAUUAUUUGUUUAAUAGCGUUUUAACGCCUAUCACAAUUUCGUGUUAGCAAAAAAGAAUUCUUUUUUUUUUUCAUUUACAUAUAUUUUUCUCACCGGACUAUAAAUAUAUUGUAUAAGUAUAUUAGUUUACACCUAGCUAAAUGCCAAAUAAAGGCUUCCAGUAUGUCAUUGUAUGCGCAAAUAUUUUGAAACGCCUAAUGUACAAUAAUAUAAUUACUAUAUAGAACUUCGAAUGAGAAAACAGGCCACCGUAAUCUGGAAAAAAUCUGAGCGUAAAAAACCACAUGGUACCAUCAAUAAUACGUAUGUUAUGUAUGUUCUAUUUACGUCGGUCUGUAUUUCUUUAUUGAUUCUAUAUUCGUAUCCAGAAUAAGAAAGAAAAAACUGACAGUUCGGGGCUGGGCGUAUAUUUCAUGAGAUUACCAUGCUAUUUUAUUGGUCAAUAUGUUAUCUAUCUUGUACUGUUUGUAAAGUUUAUUUUAUUCACACGGGCUUUAUACCUUCUCAGUUAUAUUUUUCGUAAAUAUGCCUGUAAAUCAAAUAUAUUAUCUUUCAAACUGCCGUCAGGUUUACUCUCCUAAUUCUAAAUACGAGUAUAGUAUCAUGAUUUGUUAAUGAAUAAGUUACAUUUGUUAAGGCGACCGUACACCUAAAGUGCAGUCACCACGAACUUCAAAAGGUUUCGUAAAAUGUGCUCCCGAUUAUCUGAUGUCUAGUUAUAAGAAUGUAAAUAUUUAUUGUAUGCCAAUUAUUAUUAUUUACACGCUGUUUUCUCAUUUUUAUACGUGGUUAAAUCUAUUUUUGAAGCCAUAGUGGUACUUAGAGAUAUUAAUGAUCUUUGCAUUGCGCUGGUUAAUACGACCUUGUUGGAAUAUACUUAGUUUUGAAAAGCAGUUAUAAGUAUAUAAUAUUCAUAUUGAUGUUGUAUUUUUAAAUAUGUUACGUGCCUAGUAAAACGAUUCAAAAUUGUGACCAUUCAAUGGAAACUUAUAUGAGUUAUAUGCGUUGCCGUUAUGUAUUAUAUAUCUGAGCUUUACCUACUCCGAAAUAUUCGUAAGACCACAAGAGAUUUUAAAAGAUAAAUGGAUAAAUAAAUAACUCAAAUAACACAGAUUAAAGGCCGCUUAUAAUACAACAAAAACGCUCCUUUUGAGGUUUCGCGAUAUCUAUUUUUUUAAUCUCUAUCGUCACUUUCAUUCAGAAAUAAUAAUAGUUCAAAAAUAUCAAAACAAUAUUUAAAAUAACAUAUAAGUAUAUUGGAAUCAGCAAAGCCCUUACCAGUUCAGAAAGUAUCGUCCAAAAAUGAGUUAAGCUUUAUCAUAACUAAUAAUAUGGUAUUGUAUUGCAAUUAAAUGCACUAAAAUAGUUUAUUAUACGCGCAUAUUCGCAUUGUGGCAAAUAAAAGUAAUAUAUUGAUUUGCUUUUAAA